AUUCCAGAGUGAACAGCUGGGGGCUGUUGCUGGCAGAGAGGGUGGCUAAAGGGGCCCUGAGGAGGGAGAAGGAGGGAGCAGGAAGGGAGAAGCACACUAGGCUGUAGAAGGGUCCCCCUCCUAAUAUACUGAGCCUCAGGGUGAAGAGUGAAGGACCCAAACUGGUGCCAUUCUUCAAGGCCACCUGCGUGUAUUUUGUGCUCUGGCUGCCCUCAUCUAGCCCAUCGUGGGUCAGCACCCUCAUCAAGUGCCUGCCCAUCUUCUGCCUCUGGCUCUUCCUUCUGGCUCAUGGCCUGGGAUUCCUGCUGGCCCACCCCAGCGCCACCCGCAUCUUUGUGGGGCUUGUCUUCUCUGCUGUAGGUGACGCCUUCCUCAUCUGGCAGGACCAAGGAUACUUCGUGCAUGGUCUGCUGAUGUUUGCUGUGACCCACAUGUUCUACGCCUCGGCCUUUGGCAUGCGGCCACUGGCUCUUCGGACAGGUCUGGUGAUGGCAGCGCUGUCGGGCCUGUGCUAUGCCCUCCUCUACCCAUG
This 532-nucleotide small RNA is filed under the name Pongo abelii (Sumatran orangutan). RNAcentral describes it as "processed transcript". The record is from RNAcentral. Lineage: Eukaryota; Metazoa; Chordata; Mammalia; Primates; Hominidae.